This 254-nucleotide ribosomal RNA is filed under the name uncultured bacterium. RNAcentral describes it as "partial 16S ribosomal RNA". It matches the Rfam family "Bacterial small subunit ribosomal RNA", at positions 524 to 777 of the family's 1533-position model. The record is from RNAcentral.
UACGAAGGGGGCUAGCGUUGUUCGGAAUCACUGGGCGUAAAGCGCACGUAGGCGGAUCCUUAAGUCAGAGGUGAAAUCCCAAGGCUCAACCUUGGAACUGCCUUUGAUACUGGGGAUCUUGAGUCCGGGAGAGGUGAGUGGAACUGCGAGUGUAGAGGUGAAAUUCGUAGAUAUUCGCAAGAACACCAGUGGCGAAGGCGGCUCACUGGCCCGGUACUGACGCUGAGGUGCGAAAGCGUGGGGAGCAAACAGGG